Long non-coding RNA from Haemorhous mexicanus (house finch), 764 nucleotides. RefSeq lists it as uncharacterized. Lineage: Eukaryota; Metazoa; Chordata; Aves; Passeriformes; Fringillidae. The transcript has 3 exons. The record is from RefSeq and is a predicted model, not a curated record.
UAACAGAUUAUUUAUUGUUUUGUUGUCCUAUCACUGAUGUUUCUACUACAACCCCCUCUAGCAUGAGACACUAGAUGGUGUCCUAACAGAAGAUGUUAGGAGAAAGGGCACAAAUCUUAGAUUACCAUGACAAGUUUCUCCAGGGCACCCAAAACCAGGUGCAGGAUACCAGUGGCUGUUCCUGCAGCUACCUGCAGACAUUCACAUCCAUCUCUCUGCAGAAGACCUGAGCUUGUUUAUCACUGCCCAGAGCCCUCACUGACAGCUAGGCCUGUAUCACAAACAUCCUGAAACCAAGCAGAGGAAAGACACUGCAUUCUUUCUGGACCAUCUUCUUUCUUCUCCUGUCCUCAAAGCCCUUCUGUUCCUGAAAGUGCCAGGAGGUCACCCAAGCUGAUCAGGCACCUCAGACAGGAAGAUGCCUCUGCAGAGGAAUGGGAGACAUUUUUUAUGGCUGCAGCUCCAGGAUGACUCCUGCCAGUGAUCUUGUUUUCCUGGGACCUGAGCAGUGAUGCUGGCACAGCACACCAUGACACUUCCAUUCAGUCAGACUGUGUCAAGGAAUUUAUCUGAGAAAAAGUGAAGCGAGUAUCUCCAAAUAUAUGCCCCACAAAAUCUUUCACUUCAGUUGGAGGCUUAAUAUCAUACCUUCAUCAGGUAAUCUCCUUUCUUCAAAACAUUAAAUUGCUUAUAACAAUACAUUUUUUGAACUCUACACUGAAAGUGUUCAAAAAAUGUGUAAUUGUGGAACUUAGGGACGUGGU